UCAAAAAAUAUAUCAAUAUUGAUUUAAUGCAUAAUUUCCUCAUGUACUAAUAUAUGAUGAUGGUCAAAGAGGUUUGUAACCUUUGUUAUCUCCAUUUUCUAGAGAAUAGUGAUUUUAUAAUGGUUAUUCCACUAAUUUAUGAAGUAUAUGAAGUUUUACUAAAUUAACUUAUAAAAAAUAUUGAACGAUCGUCAUGCACCAUUAAAGAGAGUUUAGCAAACGUUAAUACAAAUGGAGAAUGUGGUUAGAAUUUUAAAACAAUACUAAAGAUUAUAUGGUUCAGUCCACUAAUGGUUAGUCCACUAAUUUAGAAAGUAUAUGAAGUUUUACUAAAUUAACUUAUAAAAAAUAUUGAACAAUCGUCAUGCACCAUUAAAGAGAGUUUAGAAAACGUUAAUACAAAUGGAGAAUGUGGUUAGAAUUUUAAAAUAAUACUAAAUAUUAUAUGAUUCAGUAUAUAAAGCAUUUACCAAAAUUCAAUAUUUUUGUAGGGGUUAACACAUAGAUUUUGAGAAAAAUUCAAAAAAUAUGACGAUAUUGUUUUAAUGCAUAGUUGCAUCAUGCACUAACUUAUGAUGAUGUUGAAAUAGAUUUGGAGGCUCUAUUGUCCCCGUUUUUCAAGAAAAUAACGAUUUUAUAAUGGUUAUUCCACCGAUUUUGGGAGAUCUAUGAAGUUUUACUAAAUUAAUUUAUAAAAAAAUUAAACGAUGCUCAUGUACCAUGAAAGAUAUAUUAGCAUACUUUAAUACAGAUGUAGAAUGUGGCUAGAAAUUUUAAAACAACGUUGAAGAUUAUAGGGUUCAGUAUAUAGAGCAUUUACCAAAACUCAUUAUUUUUGUAGGGGUUAACACAUAGAUUUUGAAAAAAAUUCAAAAAAUAUGACAAUAUUUUUUUAAUGCAUAGUUACAUCAUGCACUAACAUAUUAUGAUGUUGAAAGAGGUUUGGAGCCUCUGUUGUCUUCGUUUCCAAAAAAUAGCUAUUUUAUAGUGGUAAUUCCACCCAUUUUUGGAGUAUUAUGAAGUUUUACUAAAUUAAUUAAUAAAUAAAUUAUAAUGAUUUCCAUAUACCGUGAAAGAGAGUUUAACACACAAUAAUACAAAUGUAGAACUUAUAAAUUUUAAAAUAACACUAAAAUUUUUGGGCUUCAGUAAAUAGAGCGUUUAACAUAAAAUUCAAUAUUUUCGUAGGGGUUACCACAUAGAUUUAAAAAAAUAUAACAAUAUUGCUUUAAUGUAUAGUUGCCUCCUGUACUAAUAUAUAAUAAUUUUCAAAGAGGUUUAAAAUCUUUAUUGUUUUCAUUUCUUUAGAAAAUAGCGAUUUUGUAAUGGUUUGUCUACUAGUUUAGGGAGUAUAUGAAAUUUUACUAAAUCAAUUUAUAAAAACAUUAAACGAUGCUCAUGUGCCAUGAAAAAGAAUUUAUCAUAUAUUAAUACAAAUAUAGAAUGUGGCUAGAAAUUUUAAAACAACACUAAAGAUUAUAUGGUUCAGUAUAUAAAGCAUUUACCAAAAUUCAUUAUUUUUGUAGUGGUUAACACAUGGAUUUUGAGAAAAAUUCAAAAAAUAUAACAAUAUUGCUUUAAUGCAUAGUUGCUUCAUGUACUAAUAUAUGAUGAUGGUCAAAGAGUUUUGGAACCUUUGUUAUCUCCAUUUCUCUUGAGAACAACAAUUUUUAAAAGGUUAGUCCAAUAAUUUAGGCAGUAUAUGAAGUUUUACUAAAUUAACUUAUAAAAAAUAUUGAACGAUGGUCAUGCACUAUUAAGUAGAAUUUAACAUACAUUAAUACAAAUGGAGAAUGUGGUUAAAAUUUUAAAACAAUACUAAAAAUUAUAUGGUUCAGUAUAUAAAGCAUUUACCAAAAUUCAAUAUUUUUGUAGGGGUUAACACAUAGAUUUUGAGAAAAAUU
This is a long non-coding RNA of Brassica rapa (field mustard), 1904 nucleotides long. RefSeq lists it as uncharacterized. Lineage: Eukaryota; Viridiplantae; Streptophyta; Magnoliopsida; Brassicales; Brassicaceae. The record is from RefSeq and is a predicted model, not a curated record.